RNAcentral lists this ribosomal RNA (488 nucleotides) under Vittaforma corneae. RNAcentral describes it as "SSU rRNA". It matches the Rfam family "Microsporidia small subunit ribosomal RNA", at positions 40 to 560 of the family's 1311-position model. Lineage: Eukaryota; Fungi; Microsporidia; Nosematidae. The record is from RNAcentral.
AGAUUAAGCCAUGCAUGUUUCCGCAAUCAGGGACGAAUAGCUCAGUAAAACUGCGAUGAUUUAGUCUGGCUGUGUAGAUAACUACGUGAAAAUGUAGCUAAGGGAAGGCAGAAUAAGACGCAGGACUAUCAGUUAGUUGGUAGUGUAAUGGACUACCAAGACAGUGACGGUUGACGGGAAAUUAGGGUUUUGUACCGGAGAGGGAGCCUGAGAGAUUGCUCCCACGUCCAAGGACGGCAGCAGGCGCGAAAAUUGCCCACUCUUUGCAGGAGGCAGUUAUGAGACGUGAAGAUGAGUAUCUUGUAAAGAGGGAUAGGAGAAUUGGAGGGCAAGUUUGGUGCCAGCAGCCGCGGUAAUACCGACUCCAAGAGUGUGUAUGAGAGAUGCUGCAGUUAAAAAGUCCGUAGUCAUAGAAGGGCAAAGAGAGAUGCGAGGUCUCACAGUGCGAUGAUGGAGGAGCCGAUGGGGAACAUAGUAUACCAGGGCGA